UACGUAGGGUGCAAGCGUUAAUCGGAAUACUGGGCGUAAAGCGUGCGCAGGCGGUUUUGUAAGUUUGUCGUGAAAGCCCUGGGCUCAACCUGGGAAUUGCAUUGGAUACUGGCAAGCUAGAGUGCGGUAGAGGAUGGCGGAAUUCCCGGUGUAGCAGUGAAAUGCGUAGAGAUCGGGAGGAACAUCUGUGGCGAAGGCGGCCUCUGGACCAGCACUGACACUGAGGCACGAAAGCGUGGGGGAGCAAAGCAGGAUUAGCAUGACCCCGAGAG
RNAcentral lists this ribosomal RNA (272 nucleotides) under uncultured bacterium. Its description in RNAcentral is "partial 16S ribosomal RNA". It matches the Rfam family "Bacterial small subunit ribosomal RNA", at positions 524 to 793 of the family's 1533-position model. The record is from RNAcentral.